AACGAACGCUGGCGGCAUGCCUAACACAUGCAAGUCGAACGAGACCUUCGGGUCUAGUGGCGCACGGGUGCGUAACGCGUGGGAAUCUGCCCUUGGGUUCGGAACAACAGUUGGAAACGACUGCUAAUACCGGAUGAUGACUUCGGUCCAAAGAUUUAUCGCCCAAGGAUGAGCCCGCGUAGGAUUAGCUUGUUGGUGAGGUAAAAGCUCACCAAGGCGACGAUCCUUAGCUGGUCUGAGAGGAUGAUCAGCCACACUGGGACUGAGACACGGCCCAGACUCCUACGGGAGGCAGCAGUGGGGAAUAUUGGACAAUGGGCGAAAGCCUGAUCCAGCAAUGCCGCGUGAGUGAUGAAGGCCUUAGGGUUGUAAAGCUCUUUUACCCGGGAUGAUAAUGACAGUACCGGGAGAAUAAGCCCCGGCUAACUCCGUGCCAGCCGCCGCCGUAA
Molecule: ribosomal RNA, 449 nt
Filed under: uncultured bacterium
Lineage: Bacteria
Description: partial 16S ribosomal RNA
Rfam family: Bacterial small subunit ribosomal RNA
Source: RNAcentral